This 98-nucleotide transfer RNA is filed under the name Cenarchaeum symbiosum A. It matches the Rfam family "tRNA". Rfam says of the family: Transfer RNA (tRNA) molecules are approximately 80 nucleotides in length. Their secondary structure includes four short double-helical elements and three loops (D, anti-codon, and T loops). Further hydrogen bonds mediate the characteristic L-shaped molecular structure. tRNAs have two regions of fundamental functional importance: the anti-codon, which is responsible for specific mRNA codon recognition, and the 3' end, to which the tRNAs corresponding amino acid is attached (by aminoacyl-tRNA synthetases). tRNAs cope with the degeneracy of the genetic code in two manners: having more than one tRNA (with a specific anti-codon) for a particular amino acid; and 'wobble' base-pairing, i.e. permitting non-standard base-pairing at the 3rd anti-codon position. The record is from Rfam by way of RNAcentral. Lineage: Archaea; Thermoproteati; Nitrososphaerota; Candidatus Cenarchaeales; Candidatus Cenarchaeaceae.
GCCGGGGUCGCCUAGCCUGGUAGGGCGCGCGCCUGGAAAUCAGCGACCAUACAGCGCGUUCUCGCAAGGGAUCGGGAGUUCGAAUCUCCCUCCCGGCG